GAUCAUGGCUCAGGACGAACGCUGGCGGCGUGCCUAAUACAUGCAAGUCGAGCGAAUCAAUGGGAGCUUGCUCCCUGAGAUUAGCGGCGGACGGGUGAGUAACACGUGGGUAACCUGCCUGUAAGACUGGGAUAACUCCGGGAAACCGGGGCUAAUACCGGAUAACAUCUAGAAUUGCAUGAUUCUAGAUUGAAAGAUGGUUUCGGCUAUCACUUGACAGAUGGACCCGCGGCGCAUUAGCUAGUUGGUGAGGUAACGGCUCACCAAGGCGACGAUGCGUAGCCGACCUGAGAGGGUGAUCGGCCACACUGGGACUGAGACACGGCCCAGACUCCUACGGGAGGCAGCAGUAGGGAAUCUUCGGCAAUGGACGAAAGUCUGACCGAGCAACGCCGCGUGAGUGAAGAAGGUUUUCGGAUCGUAAAACUCUGUUGUUAAGGAAGAACAAGUACGAGAGUAACUGCUCGUACCUUGACGGUACUUAACCAGAAAGCCACGGCUAACUACGUGCCAGCAGCCGCGGUAAUACGUAGGUGGCAAGCGUUGUCCGGAAUUAUUGGGCGUAAAGCGCGCGCAGGCGGUUCCUUAAGUCUGAUGUGAAAGCCCACGGCUCAACCGUGGAGGGUCAUUGGAAACUGGGGGAACUUUGAGUGCAGAAAGAAGAGAGUGGAAUUCCACGUGUAGCGGGUGAAAUGCGUAGAGAUGUGGAGGAACACCCAGUGGCGAAAGCCACUCUCUGGGUCAGUAAUGACGUGAGGCGCGAAAGCGUGGGGAGCGAACAGGNUUAGAUACCCUGGUAUCCACGCCGUAAACGAUGAGUGUAAGUGUUAGAGGGUUUCCGCCCUUUAGUGCUGCAGCAAACGCAUUAAGCACUCCGCCUGGGGAGUACGGUCGCAAGACUGAAACUCAAAGGAAUUGACGGGGGCCCGCACAAGCGGUGGAGCAUGUGGUUAAUUCGAAGCAACGCGAAGAACCUUACCAGGUCUUGACAUCCUCUGACAACUCUAGAGAUAGAGCUUUCCCUUCGGGGACAGAGUGACAGGUGGUGCAUGGUUGUCGUCAGCUCGUGUCGUGAGAUGUUGGGUUAAGUCCCGCAACGAGCNGCAACCCUUGAUCUUAGUUGCCAGCAUUCAGUUGGGCACUCUAAGGUGACUGCCGGUGACAAACCGGAGGAAGGUGGGGAUGACGUCAAACCAUCAUGCCCCUUAUGACCUGGGCUACACACGUGCUACAAUGGAUGGUACAAAGGGCAGCGAAACCGUGAGGUUUAGCCAAUCCCAUAAAACCAUUCUCAGUUCGGAUUGUAGGCUGCAACUCGCCUACGUGAAGCCGGAAUCGCUAGUAAUCGCGGAUCAGCAUGCCGCGGUGAAUACGUCCCCGGGCCUUGUACACACCGCCCGUCACACCACGAGAGUUUGCAACACCCGAAGUCGGUGGGGUAACCGUAAGGAGCCAGCCGCCUAAGGUGGGGUAGAUGAUUGGGGUGAAGUCGUAGCAAGGUAGC
This 1504-nucleotide ribosomal RNA is filed under the name uncultured Bacillota bacterium. RNAcentral describes it as "uncultured Firmicutes bacterium 16S ribosomal RNA". It matches the Rfam family "Bacterial small subunit ribosomal RNA". The record is from RNAcentral. Lineage: Bacteria; Bacillati; Bacillota.